GCUGAAUUAUCUUCGGUGGUCCGGUGUGCAGGGCUCAAACCUGUAGCUGCUUAACGGCAAAGUGGUUUGCUUCACCUUCUGGGCA
Molecule: non-coding RNA, 85 nt
Organism: Caligus rogercresseyi
Lineage: Eukaryota; Metazoa; Arthropoda; Copepoda; Siphonostomatoida; Caligidae
Source: the annotation of a GenBank genome assembly